GAUGAACGCUGGCGGCGUGCCUAAUACAUGCAAGUCGAGCGAACAGACGAGGAGCUUGCUCCUCUUACGUUAGCGGCGGACGGGUGAUUAACACGUGUAUAACCUACCUAUAAGACUGGGAUAACUUCGGGAAACCGGAUCUAAUACCGGAUAAUAUAUUGAACCGCAUGGUUCAAUAGUGAAAGACGGUUUUGCUGUCACUUAUAGAUGGAUCCGCGCCGCAUUAGCUAGUUGGUAAGGUAACGGCUUACCAAGGCAACGAUGCGUAGCCGACCUGAGAGGGUGAUCGGCCACACUGGAACUGAGACACGGUCCAGACUCCUACGGGAGGCAGUAGUAGGGAAUCUUCCGCAAUGGGCGAAAGCCUGACGGAGCAACGCCGCGUGAGUGAUGAAGGUCUUCGGAUCGUAAAACUCUGUUAUUAGGGAAGAACAAAUGUGUAAGUAACUAUGCACGUCUUGACGGUACCUAAUCAGAAAGCCACGGCUAACUACGUG
Molecule: ribosomal RNA, 497 nt
Filed under: uncultured bacterium
Lineage: Bacteria
Description: partial 16S ribosomal RNA
Rfam family: Bacterial small subunit ribosomal RNA
Source: RNAcentral